This 1212-nucleotide ribosomal RNA is filed under the name Triticum aestivum (bread wheat). Its description in RNAcentral is "partial small subunit ribosomal RNA". The record is from RNAcentral. Lineage: Eukaryota; Viridiplantae; Streptophyta; Magnoliopsida; Poales; Poaceae.
AUGACUGUCACAUGGACAAGCGGCUAUGGCAUCAGUGAGGCGCACCCCUUCGUUGAAUGGGGCAUGAAAGGGAGCCAUCCUGUGCACGCAGCAGCUGACACCGUCACCUUUGGUCGUGAGAGCCUCUGUGGAGAACCGGCUCGUAGUGUUGGUUGGAGGGAUCCAGGCUUCAUACACACAGCUUUCCUGAAGAAUCUCUCACCAGAGAAAGAAUACUACUACAAAAUUGGUCAUAGGCUCCGUAAUGGACAAGUCAUAUGGGGCAAGCCUAAAUCCUUCAGAGCACCUCCUUAUCCUGGGCAAAAGUCGCUGCAGAGGGUCGUUAUUUUCGGCGACAUGGGAAAGGACGAGAGGGACGGAAGCAACGAGUACCAGAACUACCAGCCUGCAUCACUCAACACCACCGACGCGCUCAUCAGGGACCUCGACAACACCGACAUCGUGUUCCACAUCGGCGACAUCUCCUACGCCAACGGGUAUCUGUCGCAGUGGGAUCAGUUCACGCAGCAGGUCGAGCCCAUCACCUCCCGAGUGCCCUACAUGAUGGCAAGCGGGAACCACGAGCGAGAUUUCCCCAACAGCGGGUCGCUGUACAACGGCACGGACUCCGGCGGAGAGUGCGGCGUGCCGGCCGAGACCAUGUACUACGUUCCUACGGAGAAGAGAGACAACUACUGGUACUCCAUGGACUACGGGAUGUUCCGGUUCUGCGUGGCGGACAGCGAGCACGACUGGCGGGAGGGCACGGAGCAGUACAGCUUCCUGGACCGCUGCCUGGGCAGCGUGGACCGGGCGAGGCAGCCGUGGCUGGUCUUCAUCGCGCACCGCGUCCUCGGCUACUCCUCGGGCUUCUUCUACGGCUUCGACGGGACGUUCGCGGAGCCCAUGGCGCGGCAGAGCCUGGAGGGGCUGUGGCGGCGCCACCGGGUGGACGUCGCCUUCUACGGCCACGUCCACCAGUACGAGCGGACGUGCCCCGUCUACGAGGAGCGGUGUCUGCCGGACGGCCAUGGCACCGUCCACGUCGUCGUCGGGGGCGGCGGCAGCCACCUGUCCAACUUCACCGCCGAGGCCCCGCCGUGGAGCGUGUACCGGCAGAUGGACUACGGGUUCGGCAAGCUCACGGCGUCCGACGCCAGGUCGCUCCAGUUCGAGUACCGGCGGUCCAGCGACGGCAAGGUGUACGACAGCUUCACCCUGCGCAGGGACUGA